This is a long non-coding RNA of Melitaea cinxia (Glanville fritillary), 439 nucleotides long. RefSeq lists it as uncharacterized. Lineage: Eukaryota; Metazoa; Arthropoda; Insecta; Lepidoptera; Nymphalidae. The record is from RefSeq and is a predicted model, not a curated record. The transcript has 3 exons.
AAAAGGUGAAUAAAUGGGUUGAACUUGAAAUCGUGCCUUUCAUGACAUGGUUAAAAUAACCAAUCAGAUUAUCAGCUAAGCUAAGGAUUAUAAUCAAGGAUCACGCCGAUUAAAAAAUCCUUUAAAACAAAUGAUGUUGAGAGCACUGAGAGUGAAUCUAUGAUUGAUCUAAAUACUGAGCCUAUGCUCUUGUAGUAAUUCCUUCCAACGACAAUUUAGAAGGAACCUGAUAAGAGCGAUGAAGCUGCGUGUGAAAGUAUAAUGGAACCUAAAGACCAGUACAUUUACCUUUUGAAACCUAAAAAACUAUAGUAGGAUGAAACCCAUUGGAAAAGAAAGAGAAUACAACGAAAAUGAAAGGAAAAAUAAAUGUCGGGAAGUGAGGGGUUAUGGGGAUAAAAACGGCUUAUGUCGAUUUCUGGCUAAACUACAAGUCUUA